Molecule: long non-coding RNA, 368 nt
Filed under: Salmo salar (Atlantic salmon)
Lineage: Eukaryota; Metazoa; Chordata; Actinopteri; Salmoniformes; Salmonidae
Description: lncRNA (ENSSSAG00000108403.1)
Source: RNAcentral
CCUAAAUGUCAUUGCUUAGUUAUUCAUGUUCUCACUUGAAACCACAUCGUCAUCAACCUCUAGUUCAUACUAACACAAGAUACUACAAUGUUAACAGAUUAACAGGAGAGGUGUAGAUACUACAAUGUUAACAGAUUAACAGCAGAGGUCUAGAUACUACAAUGUUAACAGAUUAACAGCAGAGAUCUAGAUACUACAAUGUUAACAGAUUAACAGGAGAAGUCUAGAUACUACAAUGUUAACAGAUUAACAGCAGAGGUCUAGAUACUACAAUGUUAACAGAUUAACAGGAGAGGUCUAGUCACAUGUAGUAGAUGGUACUCCUUAUUCAUCUUUCUUGGAAAAGUUUUUUACCUGCUUGAUUUCUA